GAUGAACGCUGGCGGCGUGCCUAAUACAUGCAAGUCGAGCGAACGGACGAGAAUCUUGCGUUUCUGAUUUUAGCGGCGGACGGGUGAGUAACACGUGGAUAACCUUCCUAUAAGACUGGGAUAACUUCGGGAAACCGGAUCUAAGACCGGAUAAUAUUUUGAACCGCAUGGUUCAAAAGGUAAAGACGGUCUUGCUGGCACUUAUAGAUGGAUCCGCGCUUCAUUAGAUAGUUGGUAAGGUAACGGCUUACCAAGGCAACGAGGCAUAGCCGACCUGGGAGAGUGAUAGGCCACACGGGAACUGAGACACGGUCCAUACUACUGCGGGAGGGACCAGAAGGGAACCUUCCGCAAUAGGCGAGAGCAUGACGGAGCAACGCGGAGUGAGAGAUGAAGGUCUUCGGAUCGUAAAACUCUGUUAUUAGGGAAGAACAUAUGUGUACGUAGCUGUGCACAUAUUGACGGUAAUUAAUCAGAAAGCAACGGCUAACUACGUG
Molecule: ribosomal RNA, 497 nt
Filed under: uncultured bacterium
Lineage: Bacteria
Description: partial 16S ribosomal RNA
Rfam family: Bacterial small subunit ribosomal RNA
Source: RNAcentral